CAGCAGCCGCGGGAAUACAGAGGGUGCGAGCGUUAAUCGGAUUUACUUGGCGUAAAGCGUGCGUAGGCGGCUUUUUAAGUCGGAUGUGAAAUCCCUGAGCUUAACUUAGGAAUUGCAUUCGAUACUGGGAAGCUAGAGUAUGGGAGAGGAUGGUAGAAUUCCAGGUGUAGCGGUGAAAUGCGUAGAGAUCUGGAGGAAUACCGAUGGCGAAGGCAGCCAUCUGGCCUAAUACUGACGCUGAGGUACGAAAGCAUGGGGAGCAAACAGGAUUAGAUACCCGCGUAGUCCCUGUCUCUUAUAC
Molecule: ribosomal RNA, 301 nt
Filed under: uncultured bacterium
Lineage: Bacteria
Description: partial 16S ribosomal RNA
Rfam family: Bacterial small subunit ribosomal RNA
Source: RNAcentral